AUGGUUGUACUGUAUAACAAAUAUUGGUUAAUUAAUUUUUCUUUUCAACUCAUAAUUAAUAGAAAAAUAUUGAAAUAACCAGAUAAGCACAUGAUCUGCUGGAUUUUCCCCUUGAGCUAGAUCGAUAUAGCUCAUUAAAUAUUCCAAACGAGAACAAAUUAAAUAGUUGAGCAAAUUUGCUGUGGCAGCAGAUCAUGCCACUCAUGGAAUCUGAUAGAUCUUUUUGAAAGAAUAAGACCAAAUUUCCAUGGGAUCAUCAAAUCAAAAAUAAAUUGAUAAGAAGUACGUACAGCAUAGGAAAACAUUAGCGCAUGGAAUCAAGAAAGGGUUUUCACUUGAUUCUACAUCAGAUCAAGCCACACUAAAACAGUAGCGCAUGUAGCUUAAGCUUGUGUGUAGUUAACCCGCAAGUCCCUUGCAUACUACUAGCCCGAAAAUGAAGGUUCCAAACUGAGAGAAAAUAAAACAAACGACCAAGCUAGCUACAAACCAAUACUAUAUGUAGCUAUAAGCAGACGAAAACACAUUACUGAUGGAAUAUAAAAUUAUUCAAAAAUGCGUACAAAACUGGAGGGGAAAAAAUUUAAACUAGUAGCAGUAGUAGUGUACAUUAAGGGGUUUAACAUUGAAUAUAAAAAGUUAUUUCAGAUCAAACAUAUAUGUAUUGCUAUGUUAUACAUCGUUAUUAUAUAUAUUGCUUAAUUCUUGGGAGGAAAGAAUAUAUAUUAUAUUGCUCUGACCAGCCGCAAGCAACAAAAAAGUGACAUGCGAUAUGUACAACCUUUCUAACGUCACUCUAUCCCUAACAUCUAUAACUCCCACACACCAUCCUUUCUUCUCAUGAAAGGGCUGCUGGGAAACGCAGUCCCCAUGAAAACAGUGGGUGCCUCUUUUGGUUGGAAGAAAUACCACUUUGUGUCGAAGGGGAGCCAGACUUGCAAAUAUAAUUAGUGAAGGGGAUCUAGCUUCAAAUCUUCGAAUUAAAUGAUGAUCAUAUGGAGGAUUUUGGAGUCAUCGCCGCUGGCCCAAAUAGCGAUGGAACCGAGGUUUUUUCCCCCUUAAGGUUUCCUUUACCACUACAAUUUUCAACUUACAACAUUUGAAACGAAGAAGGAAAAUAAUUAUAAAAGGAUCUUUGCUGAUCCACGAGUAGGAUGAAGAUCACAAUUCUACACAUGAUGGAAAUUUUUGCAUUUAUGCUUUAGGAAAUCAGUUGGAUACCCCCUUGAUCUACAUAAUUACUGGGAGAUUUGGGCGAUCCAUGAGUAGAAACAUGCCAUGAAUAAUGCACUCCGGCUUGAUGCUUAAUAAUAAACACAUCCUAACAGGGGAAUAUAUCUCUUGCACGCAGCUCUUAGUUUUGCAAGAUCGCUUAUGGAGAGUUAGAGACACGGCCGGAAUUAAUCUGAAUGUUUUGCAAGAUGAAUUGAAGAUCGAUGUGUAGAAGGAGCUCGAACUCAAAGCUGCGCAUGAGAUAAGGUGAGUCCAUGACCAGCUUGAGGAAUCGACAUCGUCUAUAGCUAGAUAAGGGACAUGGAGCAGAGCGAGGGAUCACAUCGAAACACCACACCAACAUGUCUGUACAUGAUAACGGCUUGCGGCCUUCUUCUUUAGUUAAUCAAUCGAUCGGUUGAUCGAUCGAAGUUACAUACUCUCAUAUGAACAAAUUAAAGCCCAGAUCAACAAAGUUUAGGGAUCUUCAGGGCUGCAACCGAUCGAACUAGCUAGGAAGUCCGAUCUGAUUGAAAGAAAGAGAAACUACAGGAAAAGAAAGAGAAGGAUUAAUAAUUAAGACACGCAAGCACGUCGUCGAUUCGCCGAGCCCUAGCUGCUCGCUCCUCCGCCAGCCUGCUACUCCUCCUGCUCCGGCGCCGGCUCGUUGAGGUCAAAGGGGAAGACGGGCAUGGGCGCAGCAGCAGGCGGCACGGCGGCGGGCGGCUGCUGCCUGGAGAGAGAGAAGCACCCCAUCUUGCCGCUGUGGCUGGCGCGGUGGCCGCCGAGCGCCUGGCGUGUCUCGAAGGGGGCCCCGCAGCGGUCGCAGGCGUAGCGGUACUGCUUGCCGUCGGCGGCGACGGGCGGCAGCGGGCGCGGCGGCGCCAUGCCGCGCCAGUCGCGCUCCGGGUGGCUGCGCUGGUGGCCAUGGACGGCUUUCACCGCGUCGAAGAGGCGGUGGCAGAUGGGGCACGGGUAAGGCCCCGCUGCCUCUCCCCCUGCUGCUGCUGCAGCUGCAGGGUGGUCUUUCUUGCGGUUGCGGGACGCCGCCGGCCUCUUCUUGCGCAGGGCCGCCGCCGGGGCGGCGUCGGCCUCGUGCGCCGACUUGGGGCGCCACGGGCGGUUCGGCUCGUCGCCGCCGGGGCCCCCACCCACGCCGGCGAGGAACUGGCCGUAGGCCACGCCGUAGAAGAACACCUGAGCUCCGUUCAUAGAAGGACUUGCGCGUGCAACGGCAGACAGACAGUGGACUGCAGUGGCUGCUUCUUGGUGAAGGUGUACGGUGUGUGACUGAGCACGAGUGCAGAGAGGUGGUUUCUAUAUAUAGGCUCUCCGUGGCCUGCACGGCCGUGUCAAGCGGUGGCUCCUUUCUCCCUAGCUUCCUCCUUUGGACGUAUCCAUUACUCUCCACACAUCCUUUCUCUGUCUCUUGCUCACUAAACGCUGCUUCUGCAACUUUAUUUAAGGGCGACCCCUCACGGUUGCCAUGACAACUCACACUUGAAUUCUGUCUGCAUUUAGUUGGUUGACAAGCAAGGAUAUGUGGCCGGCGCGCGGAAGGCCAAUUCACAGUCACACUUUGUACCUAGCGACUCUUUUCCACCGAAUCGCCGGGUGUUUUUUCUUUGUUGUUGUUGGGAUCAGCAAUCAUCGGCUGCAAAGAUAAGUAAAAAUGACAAUCAAUACUGAAUGUGCUUAAGCUAUGCUGUAUGUACCUAUUUGUUUUGGCUUUUCUAGGCAUAUAGCAUUUGCUACAUAUCGAGACAUAAUAUAUAUCUAGGUGUAUAACAAAAAUUAUGUAUCUAGAAAAACUAAAACAAAUAGCAAGUCGAUCUCUUGUUACUUCCACGUACACCUCUAGCGUAGUACUCCCGGCCGGAGCUUGCUUACCCUCAAAGUCUGAAACAAAAAGGUCAGAGGAGAGAGAAACAACAAAAUAAAAGAUCAAGCUAAAAGCCAAUAUAAGCAGACGAAAGCUUCUAGUACGUGAUGUUAUGGAACCCAAAGCCUUGUUUCCCUAGGUCAAAGGCAUAUGUCAGCGUGGACUGCACAUACAAAACUUAAUUGCUAAUAAGAGCAACCCAAAAAACAAAGAAAGAUCAAGGGAAAAAAGAACAGUAAUGAUGUUAAUUGUAGUUAGUUAGACGACAUGCACUGUUUAGUUGUAGUUAGGAGAGUACUUACCGUAUAUCUUGCUUUAACUGGUCACAGGCAAUAAAAAGGUGUGAUAUCAUGUAAGUACAACGUCAGGCUAUCCCUAACAUUUAUAGGUUUUGUUGCUAUACGUACAGUUUGACUCCGAGACAAGGCAAAGGUUUACUGAUCCGUAGCAUUUUAUCACUUUGCUUCCAAGGAAAAAAUGAGCAUAAUUGAGAAAGUACUAAGCCCUAACUUGAGAGUUGAGAAGUAGUUAGUGAAGAGGAGCUAGGAAAAAUCUUUGAAUCAAAAUGAGGGCAUCAGCAAGUCAUCCCCCAAACAGAGGUGGAAACAAAACCAGGAGGGGUUUCUGCUUAAAUAUCCCUUUAGAACCAUAUAUAUAAAUCUCAACAUACCUUUUAAAACAAUUCAGGAGAAAUCUGAACUGUUACAUAAAACAAAUCCAAAUUGAAACAUUGUAUGUAUAGUAAGAACCCGGCAAAUUUUGUUCAUGAUCAAUUUUUUUGGAAUUGUACAUUAGGAAAAAAGAUCACAACCCUUGUACAUAAAUAAGUAGAUUUUCUGAUCCAUGAGUAGCAACAUGUGUCAUAAAUACACACCGAUCUACUCAAUAAAUGUCUCCUCCUGGGAGCGGAUUCUCUCUCUCCUGCUGUGGCUAGCAGAGACCAGCCUACAGAUCGCUCAUGGAGACACGGAAUAUGAAUGUCUUGCACCAUCAAGAUUGAGAAGAAUCAAGCUCAAAGCAGCAUUCGAGAAAAACAAGAUGGGUCCUUCAUUUUUUUUGAACAUAAAUGGCAGGAGCUCUGCCUUUCAGUUAAAUAUGUAGUAUUAAGAGAGAAAUUGCAUAAAGUGUUUAGAGAAGUACAUGGCGGCACUUCAGGUACGGUGUACAACAAUGCUCCCAGGACAAAAAUAUCCUAAUUUUAACGUAAAGCAAAGAGACAUUGCCUCGAAGGUUUGUUUUCUUUUUCACUGAAAAUACCCAAUCAGCAACCGGGCAAGUAAAAUACAAGCUAGAGGAUGAGGAAGCCAUAAUGUUUGAUUGGAUAACACGCAAAAUCACAUGCAUAUAUAUGGAACCCGACAAAAACCUACUUUAUUAGAUGAGGUUGUGCGACUAUCCAAGAUACACACCAAUAGCUACGUAUGUCAUGCAUACUAUCGGACAAAAUCAGACUUAUCGGACACAUAUGUCAUAUUUAGAGCUUUUCAAGCAUGACGCCAUGACGGCUAACACCAUGCACACCAAUAGCUGUGUACGCCAUGCAUACUAUACGACAAAAUCAAACUUCUCGAGCACAAAUGUCAUAUUUAGAGCUUUCCGAGCAUGACGCCAUGACAGUCAUGAAAAGGCAAAUUAUACACGCCAAUAGCUAUGUACACCGUGCAUACUAUCCGACAAAAUUAGACUUAUCGAGCACAUAAUAUAAAUAUUGUAUUUAGAGCGUUUCGAGCGAGCAUGACAGUUGACACCAUAAAAAAGCAAAUUGAAACAUCGCGUCUAGAGACUUUGAGAACGAUGGUUAACAUCAUGACAAAACAUACUAAAAUCCAUGACAGUGAAUACAAUAACAAAGCAAUUGUUCGAGAACAACCCGAUCACAAAAUCGUUGGUCAUUUAAUUAGUCAAAAAAUUACAGAUAGUUGUUUUUCUGUUUUUUCCUAGGCUUUUAUUUUGUCAGGGCAAUACUUUGACAGACAGUCACUCCACCAAUAUUUUAUUUAUGCGGUGCAAAAUUAUAAUGAUAAAUAAAAUGGAUAUACUAGUGCCACGAGCCCACGAUUGUAAAAAUUUUGGGGGAACGGUCAAUUACUUGGUAUGCCAAUUAUAGGAGAGGAAGGGAUUCAUUUUUAGAAGGAAGCGUGGCCGUGGGGCCAGCUGCCAAGCAAGCAUCGUCCGCGAGGGCUCCGUGGCCUAGCUGGUGAACCAUCAGUUGAAGCGCCACUCUGUCGAAGCGCGGCGCUGGCAGACGGGGCACACGUGCUCCCCUGCCGGUGGAAGGUCGUCGAUCUUCUUCGUACCGGGUGCCGCCGGCUUCUGCUUUUGCGCUUGCAGGGCCGCCGGGAGGCCGUCCACCUCGUGCGUCGACUUGGGGCGGUUUGGCUUAUCGUCGCCACUACCGCCGGCCGCUCAUGCUAGCAACCUCUACGUCAGCCGUUGCGCGUGCAAUGCAACAAAGGGUCAGAUCGACAGGCUGCAGUGUGUACUGUGGCUGGGGUACGUCUUUCUUUGCAAAGUUCUGCAUUACUCCAUAGCUUCUCUUGACGUUAUUUUUCCCUAGCAUCAUAUAUAUCUACUAUACGUGGCUGCUAUUUCGACUCCAAGCUGUACGUGACAAGGCGAUGACUCGGCAACACGACUAUACAUAUAUCACUUUGCUUCAAGACAGAACGAAAAACAAGUCCUACGUACAAUCUUUUCCCAUUUAAAAUUAUUAAGGGCUGCUGGGAAAUACUCAAACUUUUACAUAAUAAAACAAAGUCCAAGUUGAAACAUUGUAGAAAGGCUUUCAUUUUGCCCCGCCACCCUGCUAGUGUAUCAGUAGUCUGCAGUUGUUGAUAUAGCAAACUGCUAAACAUUGGGUUCAGGUGUCGGUCAUAUAUAUCUUCAUGCUUGGCAGAUGUUAUAUGACCAUCUGGACUGAUCAGUGCUAAAUUUCAUAAAAAAACAUUCAAAAAAAUAAAUUUCUUAAACUUUCUGCUAAGGUGGUAUCCGGGUAGGUUCAAUAUUAUUUAUUUUUCACUGCCAAGGCAAGAUAACAUAGAGGUGCUUUGCUUCUUGCUCAAAGAUGUUUUCUUCCUCCAAAAACAUCCGAUCAUCAACCAGGAUCACGAAACCCUAAUAGGAAAUGCGCAAGUUCAAUGGGAUCGGCUGAAUAACACAUACACAAUAUACAUGCAUGCAUACAAAAUACGACGAAAACCUACUCUAUUUAUCUAUUUCUUGUUUACAAUUAGGUUGGACGGCGGACACCCAAGCUGCCCCACCAAUAGCUCCGUGCCGGGCAUACUAUCCGACAAAAGUAGGCUUUUAUUGAGCAAAUAUGUCACUUUUAGAGCUUUUGAAUGACGGUUAGCGCCACGACAAAGAAAAUAAAAAUGUCGCAUUUCAAGAUUUUGUCGAUGGCAGUUAAUGCCACGACAAGAAAAUUAACUACCAUCGACAGCAACCCGACAAAAUCAAUGGCUCGACAGCAACCCGACAAAAUCACAGGAACAUAAGAGUUCCUCGCGAUUGGUCAAAUAAUAAGUAAUACAUGCAUAAGGAACCCAACAAAAACCCACUUUAUUAGUCUAUUGCUUCUUUUUAGAGAGAUCGGGCAGACACUCAAAGCUGCCUACCAAUAGCUCUGAAAGUCUUGUAUACGAUAUGAUGAAAGCAUACUUGCGCAGUAUGACAAUUAACUCCGUGAAAAAAGCAAAUAGAAAUGACAAAUUUAGAGAUUUCAUGUAUAUGAAAGGUCAAUGCAUGGUGUAACAAAAGCAAAUUAAACUCAACGACAAGAAAAUAUAUGUUGUGAUUAAUUGUUUCACGACAAUCCGACCUAAAAAUGUUACUUGUCUAGCCAAUCCAUUAUCUUUAUACAAAUGACAAUAACGCAGAGUUGCAAGACGCGACAUACUAUAUUUCCUUUUUCCUUAUAUUGAAGGCCCUAUGUAUAAAUGCCAAAGUAAUAAGCCCUAGUACUAGCCACCAUGAAGAUUGGUAAGUCUUAUGUUCACGAAACUCUGCAUAAAAUUUGCUCGAAAGUGAUUUUCUGUUGAUAUAGAUAGUUCAUAGUAUACAUGAAGCACUACAGUUAUCUAUGUACAAUUCAGCUUGUUUACCUAACAACAUUAGAAACAGUAAACUGCAUAAAAAUCCCUCAUCAUUUAAUUUGAAAGAACUGAAAAAUUGAUCCUCAUAUAUAGUCAUCCAUGGCAAUCAAAGAAGAAUAUUAUUCUGUUUAUGAAUCCUUGUAUAACAGCACAGCUGGAAUUUAUUACCACACUGAAGCAAUGCCGUUUAAUAUAAUCCUUGCGUUGUUGUUUGUCUUAAUUAAUUUGUUGCUUGGUCCAGUUUACACUUUACAUCGAUCUGGAUGUAGCUCGGGACGAUCACUAAUUUUGCCUUCAGUUCCAAAUUAUAGGUCAUCUUGGUUUUAUUAGAUUCAUAAACCACCUAGAUAUAUCCUAUGUUUAAAUGCAUAAUAAUAUCUAUGCAUCUAGAAAAUUCAAAACGAGCUAUAAUUUGGAAGGGAGGGUGUAGAUCUGUUGCAGUAAUGUGCACAAGUCUGAGCCUGACUGACAGUGUGUGUUUUGAAACUUGGAAGAAUAUUUUCAAUCCACACCUGGGCCUCUAUUGGGCCUUCGCACGGUCGGUCGGGCUUAAACAUCAGUAGCUAGCCUGGUUGCAAGUAAGUAGGCUGGGUAGUGGGAAAAGGGAAAAAAAGGUAGAAAUGCUGGGCUGAAAUUUUUGCAUGCCCAUUCCUCGCAGCUGUCUGCGCAAAAUGUUUUUUUUUCCAUCAGAAGAAAUACCGUAUGACUAGGGUACGCUAGAAAUGAUAACAUACAAGUAUCGGUAUUUCUCUCUGUAAAAAAUAAAUAAAAAGGACGCCGUAGUGCCUACACGAGGACAGCACAAUUGCUGGGCAUUUUAUACGGCGACGAUACGAUACGAGUCACGUACCGACCGGACAAAGGGGUGCGGCUCCAAAUAGCUCCGGCUCCUUAUGAUAUUUUAUUGUUCACGUGCUGUUGCAAUCUUGUUCACGCGAAUUCAUGUUUCUCUCUUUUCUCCCUCCCUCUCGUAGAGUCGGUGGAAUCAGUUUUUAUGGCUCCUCCCGUUCCAGCUCGUUUGACGCUACAUUUGACGCUACAGUAGCUCGUCAGCGGAGGAGGGGAGCCGGUAAGAACUCCACCGACCUAGCCUAAAGUUGAUCCAUCUAACCUAAUCUGGGAGUGCGAACCCGGCCAUACAGUGACGCAGAUCGUUGUCACAGAGCUAGCAGCUGAUCAUCAAUCCACGGUUCAUCAAAGAGGGGAAAAAAAAGAAAAGAGAAAAGAAGGAGAUGGCUAGCUGCUGAUCCAGAACCGAAAGUCCAAAGAGAGGACGCAAUGUCCCAUACGGCCAUACGCCCAUACGCCCGUACCAUACUCCCACGUCACCAUCAUUUCCUCCGACAUACCACGUCGUAUGAAAGCAAGGGAGAUGCCGCCUCGGUCGCGUCACCAAAUCACAUCUAGAAGAUGCCUCCAUCGCAUGUACUCUUAUCUGCUACUCACUCGAUCGAUCAUUUAAGAAUUAUUAGUUGUGGAUAAAUUAAAAUUGUUUGCAAGACAUGCAUCUGCAUAUGUACUCCUGGUUCUCUUCAAUUCAACCGUAACAACUCUACUAUCCAUAAUCCAUCCAUCCUUUUCCUUUCAAAAGCAGGAGAAAAUUUGAGGGAGGAGAAAGAAAGAAACUCAGCUUAAAAAAAAUAUUGCUAUUACUAAAAUUUAGAGAGUGCUAAAGUUUAGACCAUUUAAAGUUUAGCACUCCAUUCAUUACCACUCCUGUUUGGAGAUAUGACUAGUGGAUAGAGGUAAAACCCAUGAAAUGUCACUUUGACUCCUUUAUCUCCUCACCUCCCCUUCCUCUCCUUUUGAUCUUUUCACAAGCCAUUAGCACUCAUUAGCAUCUCCCUACCAGCUAAUGUUUUUUUUCCAUCUUUAGGGUGGGCUAAAGUUUAGCCCUCCCGUUUGAAUGGGUUAAUGCAUAAAGAUGCUAAACUUUAGCACUUUUAUUUAUUGGCGCUUGAUCCAAAGAGACCCAAAAGAAAAAAAAUCCAGCAGGAAGAUGGAGGAGCAAACAAAAUUAAGGGUAAGUUUAGUAGGGUUCCAGCUCCUUAAAAAGUCGGAGUCAGAAGAGCUAUUUUUUUUCUCCAACUUUUCCAUAAAAAAUAGCUCCGGCUUCUCCAAUACUCUAUGGAUGAAGCCGUUUAUUUGGUAGAGCUACAGUUCGCAUAAGAAACCGAGCUGGAGUCCUGUCUGCCCCUAAAUAUCAAAAAUGCUCGUGGUAAGCACGUACACAACCACACGUAACAGCCACCUCUGUCCCUGCAGGUGGACCCUCUCGCCGACCGGAAAUAGUAAACAAGUCCACGUGGAUGGGGAGGCGAAUCGAGAGCGAGCAGAGCACGAAACCCUCCCUCGUCCCUUAUUUCUUCUUCCUCCUGCCACUCCUCGUCCUUAUCGCCAACCACCAUUGCUCCUUUCCCCCAAGCAACACAACUCCAGGGCCCAAUCCCCGCCGCGAUCCCGGUCGCCCAGCCAUGGAUCCGUACAGGGUGAGUCCUGCCUUUCAUCCAGCCUCCGCCCUCCCUCCUAGAUCCUCAAUUUCGCGCCUUUGUUGCCCCCUCCAUGCGCGCACUCAUCUCACUGACCGGAUUUUCCCCGUCUUUGGUUCUUGCAGCACCGCCCCUCCAGUGGGAACAACUCCAGCUUCUGGACCACCAACUCCGGCGCCCCCGUCUGGAACAACAACUCCGCCCUCACCGUCGGCCAGCGAGGUCGGGACCUGUCGCUUCUGCCUUUCCUUUCCUUCUCUCUGUUUUUGUUCCCCUCCUUAUAUGAACCUGCAGUUGGCAUAUGUACCUCAUGUGGGUGAGCUUAAUUACACGGAUACGUGGUUGUUCUGCGAUGAUCUGGGGCAGCCCUGGGGAAUCAGAGGCUUUUUGGUUGUUUCUCCUUCUCAUCUCAUGACCUGUGGGCUGUGGAAAAUGAACUCUUUAACACUAAACGCCACCGAUUGUGCCUUGCUAGUUGCUAUGAUCAUCCAAAGUUUGCACCUUGAUGCUAAUUUUGCUGUUCCAUAUUGAGUUUUGGUUCGCCUGCUUUAUUAUAUUAUAGAAAUUAAAAGAAAAGGCACUCAAUUGAGUUAUGAUUACUGCCCUGCUAUUCUGUUAAGGUCGCAUUCCUUGAUCAACUCUAAGGCGAAAAACCUUAUAUUUCAGUCUUUUGUGUGGAUAUUUUCGUCAGUCACUGUAACACCAUUAAGUUGCUUAAGGGAAAGAAAGUGCCUUUUUCAAUUCGAUAGUCCAUCAUUCAGUCAUACUGAUAAAAUCUAAGUUGAUGAGCAGUUCCAUGAUAGUAAAGUCAGGGGAGUAGUCAUCAUAGCUGAUUGUUACUGGUAUGGUUCAUUUCCUUUUGACGAUUACCUGGGUAGGGCUGAAUUACUACCAGAGAAGAAACUUACUUGACCCUUGUUCUCCUAUGGUCAACACGGUCAUGGCCAGACGUUGAAAGUGAUUGGAACUCAACUUUGCUUCUUCUGAAUGUCAUUGUCAUAAAAGAAGUACCACAACAAUCAUAGCAUGCAUAUAUGUGUGCUUAUCAUAAACAAUAUGUUCCUAUCAGUGAAACCAGAAAAAAAAACAAUAAAUUCUUUUUGGUUAGGAUUUUUUUGGUCUACUUGCAGCACUUGUGUUUUGGCUUUAUUACCUACCGCGAUGUAUUCUUCUUUGGCAGGACCCAUCCUCCUUGAGGACUAUCAUCUGAUUGAAAAGCUUGCUCAGUUCGACAGGGAACGUAUCCCUGAACGUGUUGUUCAUGCUCGAGGAGCCAGUGCCAAGGGUUUCUUUGAAGUAACUCACGAUGUAUCUCACCUUACAUGUGCUGAUUUUCUCCGGGCUCCUGGGGUUCAGACCCCUGUUAUUGUUCGGUUCUCCACCGUUGUGCAUGAGCGUGGAAGCCCUGAGACCUUGAGGGAUCCACGUGGUUUUGCUGUCAAGUUCUACACCAGAGAGGUACUGAUGAUAAAUCUUAACUUGCAUCCUAAAAAGAUGUAUACAUCUUAACUGUUUUGUUUGUUGUUUUACCUUGAGCAUGACCGUUAUUUUAAAAUUAAAACUAUUGCAAGUUAUGUGGAACAUCUUGGCAAUAUUUUUCUGUCAACAUAUGCACUUAUCAAAGACUGUAAUAUCAAUUUUUUCCCUAUUGUGAUUAUUGCACUGGAGUUACAACAACUUGAAUUGUGCUUAAUCCCUGUAAAUAUCCUUUGCAUGAGCUGCUAUACAGAUGAAAUAAUAUCUUAGAUCCGACCAUUUUUUCUGUUUGAAGGUUUGAUUACCACUACCCCCCUUCCCACUUGUAGGCCUAUGCAAUUGAAUGUUUACCUUGUCAUGAGGGGAUUCUUUUAUGGGGACACGCUGCUGACCUAUUCUUAUGCUGUUCGUUAACUUUCUCCUAGUUUCUGACACCUUAUAUUGACCUUUUUAUAUCCAAGGGAUGGUACUUAAUAGCUUUCACCAUGCUUUUUUUCAGGGUAACUUUGACCUUGUGGGUAACAACAUGCCUGUGUUUUUCAUCCGAGAUGGGAUGAAAUUCCCUGACAUGGUUCAUGCUUUCAAGCCAAACCCAAAGACCAAUUUGCAGGAGAACUGGAGAAUAGUAGACUUCUUCUCACACCACCCAGAGAGCAUGCACAUGUUCACCUUCCUCUUCGAUGAUGUUGGCAUCCCACUCAACUACAGGCACAUGGAGGGUUUUGGUGUGAACACCUACACCUUGAUCAGCAGGGACGGAAAGCCUCACCUUGUCAAAUUCCAUUGGAAGCCUACUUGUGGUGUGAAAUGCUUGUUGGAUGAUGAAGCUGUUACUGUUGGAGGCACCUGCCACAGCCAUGCCACAAAGGAUCUGUAUGAUUCUAUUGCCGCUGGGAAUUUCCCGGAAUGGAAGCUUUACAUUCAAACCAUUGAUGCUGACCAUGAGGAUAAAUUUGAUUUUGACCCACUCGAUGUCACCAAGACCUGGCCAGAGGAUAUCAUCCCACUGCAGCCUGUUGGACGGAUGGUCCUGAACAAGAACAUUGACAACUUCUUUGCAGAAAACGAACAAAUUGCUUUCUGCCCAGCAAUCAUCGUCCCUGGAAUCCACUAUUCUGAUGAUAAGCUGCUCCAGACGAGAAUUUUCUCCUAUGCUGACACCCAGAGGCACCGCCUUGGUCCAAACUACCUGAUGCUUCCUGUGAAUGCACCAAAAUGUGCUCACCACAAUAACCACCAUGAUGGCUUCAUGAACUUCAUGCACAGGGAUGAGGAGGUACUAUGUUCUUUGGCGUUUUUGCCUCCUUUAGAAGGCCAGUCUGCCGGGUCCAUUAUGCAGUUUUGUAACUAUUGACAUAAAUAAAAUGAAAUAUCCAUUGCACUUAUCUAUUUUCCUUCCUUUUUUCAGGUGAAUUACUUCCCGUCGAGGUUUGAUCCUGCCCGUCAUGCUGAGAAGGUCCCUAUCCCUCCCCGUGUUCUGACAGGAUGCCGUGAGAAGGUGAGUAUACUUGGAAGUUACAAGUGUACCAUUAUGUUCCAUACGCUGUGGUGGCUACAUUGUGCUUAGCAAUAGCUUUGUUCUACAGUAUAAUGGUGAGUUUGAAUAAACCAUUGGAAAACUUAUUGUUGAGCUAUAACAUCUAAUCUUUACUGUUGAUCUGCAGUGCAUUAUCCAUAAGGAGAACAACUUCAAGCAGGCUGGUGAGAGAUACCGGUCCUUCGACCCUGCCAGGUUUGCCCUCACACCUGAGUUAGUUUGGUUUAGUAGAGGCAUAGGAAGGGUUUAAGCUGUUGUUUGGCUAAUUAAAGCGUUUUGAUGUGGAAACACACACAGGCAAGACCGGUUCAUCCAGCGGGUGGUUGACGCGCUCUCAGAUCCUCGUGUUACCCAUGAGCAUCGUAGCAUUUGGAUCUCCUACUGGUCUCAGGUAUUCAUUCAUUUUUAUUGGUUUUUGGUGAAAUGCUUGCCAUUUGGGCCAUGUACAACUGUGGAUAUCCUUAUGCUUUGAUCUUGGUACUGAAACCGAGCACGUUUUACCUAUGUGUUGCAGUGCGACGCAUCCCUUGGUCAGAAGCUGGCGUCUAGGCUUAACCUGAAGCCGAACAUGUAGUUUGGCAAGGGCGAAGCAAGCACAAAAAGCGCAGCAAACCGGAGGUGGAUGCAACAUGAAGUGUGUGAUGCUGGGAAUGGUUGUAACAUUGAAUAAAGAGUAAUGGAUGUGAUAGUAGUACGUGUCCUGGGAUGCGAACCAGUGGUGGGUUAUCCUAUCCUGUAACUUUGCCCUGCUUCAUCUUUGCAAGAAAGACAUACACAGAGUACAAGUACAAUAAAGAGGAAUGUGUUGGAUUAUAAUAACAGUGUGGUGCUCUGGUUGUUUGUUCUCUGUUGUUGCGUUGCAGGAUGCUCGGCAUCCAAGAGGUAAGAAAUACAGCAAUGAAUUUACCAUUGGUAUAUUUGAGUUUGCAUUAGUAAUUGAUCCCUGCCUGGAGGCUCUUGGGAUUCGGUAGGAGUUGGACAUGUUGGUUAGUUCUUGUGUGCUCAGGUUGGCGAGAGAGAGAAGCAGCAGGUUGGUCCUGUUGAGAGUGGAGUGAAGUGCAGCAGGUUCCAGAGUUGUUACUGCUGAUCAGGUUUGUAGAGGAAGUGGUCCAGCACGAGGAGGUUGAGCAGCUCGGACGACGGCGUUCCGGAGCUCGCCCAACUAGGCUGCGGAACCCUCUGAAUCUCGAGCGCCGCCGGAAGGGAGCCAUCGCCAUGCGAGGAGGCGGGGGUUUUACGCCGAUUUGGUUCUUAACAAUGGCGGGCUAUGGCUACCACCGCUAGCACCGACAGCAGCAGCAUUCCUGCAGCUGGGAUGGGAGCUGACCUAUGUUCUGAUGGAUUAUAUGGUCAAGUUCGUAACGGCCAAGGCUAAACUGAUCGCUAUCGUGCUGAAUUCUGCGCUUGGUGUCAGUAAGUCAGUGUGCUUGUAAUUCAGUCCUGCCACGAACCGAGUUCCUGAGAUGAACGUGCAUUGCAGCUGCCAUUUCCAAUGGACUCCUUGUACGCAGGCCCCUAUCCGCAAGGCGAUCAUGCCGUAUUGCCGUGAUGACAAUCCUUUAUCUGAACUUCUUUUGACAGGAGAAUUUAUCUGAACUGAUGGAGUGUGCAUUUGAGAUGAUAGGCGCGCCAUGGCCAUCAGAGCUCAGACCGACAACUGUGGUUACAUGUAGCAAAGAAAGUGCUCCAAAAAGAGAUCCUGUUGCUCCACAAUUUUCUCACUAUCUUUCUUUCCAUUGUAACCAGAGCUAUUACUGAAUCGCCAACAAAGCAUUUUCAAAUUUAGAAGGACACCUUGCUACAAUAAGCGGCCUGGAACAUACCCUGACCAAACUAUUCCUAGGUAAUUGGCAGCCAGGUUGACGUCCUUGCAUUUUCAGGUUCACAAACUUCCCCGCCCCUGGAGACAAUUCAUCGGAAACAUUUGGCUUGGUACACUCUUCAGGAACUGUUAGUAAUGCCUUUUUGUUCAUUAGUAAUGUCAUUUUUGGUGCCACCUAAGUGAGACUAACAGCAUCUGUUCACUGUUAGUCUAUUUCGCUCAACUCAUUCAUAGGCAUAACAAUGACCUUCUGUUCUAUGCUUUUUGGUACAGUUCUGAGAUCAAAAGCUUUCCUAUACAUCCAUUUUUUACAACAUUCAUAAACAUCCAUUAUAACUACACAGUGUUCAUAUCACAGGACGUAAGAGUUGAACCUCUUCAUUGAUGUGAAGGUUUAUUCCUUUUGCAAUUCAUACAAGGUACUGGCGUAAUUCUAAAGUGAACAAAAGAAUAGUUAGUUUGUUGCAGAGUAUAAAUCACCUUGUUCAUCAGUUGAUACAAGAAUAGUUACUUUACUAUGCAGAAGAAUGACAAGAUUAUGAAGGCUGAACUAGGUUAGACACACCACUACUCUGUCCAACGCUCUCCUAAUGAAUAACUUAUGCUCCAAAAAGAAAAACAAAACUGGACGAAGAUCUACAUGUCAUUGUUUACUCGCAUAGCAAUGCUGAACAUGUGAGUUGUCAAGAUCUACAUACUUGGACCAGUAUGACUUGUACUUGGAAAUGGCAAGGUCAAGCCAGGGCUUGUAAUUCCCGUUGUAAUGAACUACCGCAGCAUUCUCGAUCUCAGAAAUGUCAACAGCUGGAUCAUAUCCCAGGCCCAAGACAUGCCAAGUACGAUUCAAUGGGUAUGUCAGGUUGUAGAAAGUAAUUAGUCCCGGAGGCAAUGUACCCAGCUUCCACAGCUUGCGAUCCUCAUUCUGCAAAAUGUCUUAUAUUAGUAAGUAAAACAAAAAAAAUAAUUACAAGUUAUUUAUGUAGCAUAGUUGUCAUAGACAGAAUAUACAUGAUGGGAACAUGCGAUUCAAAAAUACAAUCAACAGCAAAUUACUUGUUCCAAUACUUACCAAAUCUUGCCAAUAAUGGUAUAUUACAGUGAUAUUUCGCUUCCUCCACUCUUUCAGGUCAAACAUGUUCAUUCCAAACGCCCACCCACAAGCACGUGGAUCGAAGUUCUCUGAUAUCUUUGGGUGUGAGAAGUUGAGAUAAGUGUCAAAGCGAUGAAAACUCUCUUUACAGGUUUCAACAGCACCAUUUACCAUCCCUUGAAGAUCAACAUCCCAUAGGGGCGUCAAAUCCUUCUGUACAACAAUAUCAUCAUCGAGAAACAGUAUCUUGUCAAGCUUCGGGUGUAUUUCCGGCAUGUAGAACCUUAAAUGGUUGAGCAUAGACAAAUAUUUGGGGUUCCUGUACUUUAGAUUCUCGUUUCCAUCAGAAAGUGAUGAUAGGUCAUGUGCUUUGAAGUAAUAUUCUUUGAGGCGAGCUGACUCAAGUUGCCGCAGAACAGAACAGUACGACGAAUUGAGCCACUUGAAAUUGUCUAUGUUCUCCACAUGAACAGUAGCCAGCUGGGGCGGAUGAGUAAUGAACCACAUCUUCAUGGCUGCAAAAUUAAGUUUGUCGGUGACAAUGUGGAACACAUGCUUCUCUGGUUUAUUGGCAUUUGUCACAGUUGAUCUGACAACUACUGAGGCUGCAAGCACAUUAUCAGAAAAUAUAGCAUAGUGAUAGAGUGACCUAUCCUCAAGCUUUGCUAUAUUUUCUUCCUCCUUCAAAGCAGCAUCAUGAAACUGCUCCUUGGUCACACCAUCACGAAAAUAGUAAUCGGUUGUCAGCUGCAUAUGCAGGCAGUGCAAGGGCAUGGGGACAGUCUUUGCAGCAUGCUGAACCAGGAAUGAAUUUUGUUUCUUCACUGCAUCGAUAUUUAGUUCCGUAGACUGCAGCAUAACACGCAGUUUUCUUGAUACUUCACUCGAGCUGUACAGAACAUCUCUAGCCGAAGACAGCACAUGCCCCAUUGCUUUUGCUCUCUCUAAAGCACUGCAGAAAUGAGGGCUGAUAAGAAACUUAUCCUUUAACACCGAAGCAUAAAAUAGCCAAAUCGAUUAAUCUUCAGAAGUGAAACGAAAUACCUCGAAUCGAGUUCGCUAUCAAUAAGUGCAUCCCCGAUAGCUGUUUGGCUUUGUUUUAUGCACUUCAUGAGCAAAGCAUACAUGUCUGGUUCCUUCUCAGAGAGUGCAAUAGUGGCAUAUAGCUUGGCCAUUAUUAUCUGAUCCUUCAUGAGCCUUAGGGUUGAAUCUGUAUUAAUAAGGCGGAACUCCUGCCUCCAUAUGUUGUAACUGCCCCUAACUUUAUUAUCAAAGUUCCUUGAGCUGUUUAUCGCUGCAUUUUGCAUCUCAAGUUCAACCUUCUUAUCCAUCUGAAGCAACUCCUGGACCCUCUGCACCUUUCUUCUACGCCGAAAUACCUGAAGAAGCAAUAGCAGCACACCAAAUCCACUCAGAUGGUCAGAAUUAACACACCAGAGAGUAAACCAAACAAAUACUCUCACAACAUAUAGGCAAAUGAAAUUGACCUGCCGCUUUAAUUUGAUCGGAUCAACGCUUUUAGUUGCCAGAGUUUCUGCACUUGAAAGAUUGGUGGCUUCUGAUCCAUUGGCUAGUAGAAGAUUCUCAGAAGCCUUUUGCUGGUGCAACAGCAGAAAAAACACACAUGAGAGAUACAAUAAUGAACAACCUACCAACCUGCCCACACAAACAACACACUGUUGUUCAGCACGUACGGUUCUGGCUACCGGCUGGCUAUCUCUGCCCAACCAAGGGUUCUCCCAGAUAGAGGAGGACGCAAACUCUCUUGCGGUGACUUUGAACAGCUUGAUCCUGCCGUGCUGGUCGGUGUAGGCAAUCGUCUUGUCAGCACUAUCAACAUCCUGCCAGCCAUUCACAAUGCACGCUCAGUAACCUGGCAAGACAAGCAAUACAGCGCAGUUGAGAGUAUCCUGGGCAUCCAAAUUCAGAUAAAAUUACCUGUGAAUUGGCACACCCACGGCAGUUCUUGGGACGCUCGCGCUCGCUGGCAAUCCAAAAUCGCAAGAUAACACCAAAGUUAGAACCUUUAGUCGCAUAUAGGAGUAAAGGGGCGCUGGCGAUGGUUCUUACCCCUGGUGACCGGAGAAGAGCCACUGGGACACCGCCGAUCUGGCGGAGGGCACAUGGAUCACGACCUACAGGGUAGAAGCGUCAGGGACAGUAAGAAAGGAAGAAGCCCUAAUUCUGGGGGUCCACGGCGAUGAACCUAACAUUUCGGCGUUGCAGUGAACAGUAAGGGGCGAGUGGCAAUGGCACGGGAACCGACCAACCUGGAAGGAGAUGAAGCAGAGGAAGACGAAGAGGAGGGCGAGGAGGCCCGGGCGCCGCCGCAGGGAGAAGGGGGUUCUGGGAUACGCUGCCGCAGCCGCCGAGGAGGCGGCGGCGGCGGAUGACGCCAUGGACGGGGAGUGGAGUGAUGGCCUGAUGGGGAUGUGAAUUUUGUUUUCCUCUUUUUUUUUUACCAUUAUUAAGGAAGGUGGAUUUUGGGGGACGAGAGCUGGGUGCAGGUAGCAGGAGGAAUGCCGAAUCGUUUCGUUUUCUUUUAUUUUCUUGCCACAGUGGGAAUGAAAGGCACAUUUGUCGGGGCUACUGUUUUCUGGCCUAAAAAUUGCCACAUUUUCACUUCUGCCAAACCAGUGAUGAUGAGUAACUAACUGCACAUCUCUAUAUUUUUUCAAACCUCUGUACUCCAAUGGCAGGGGAGGGUGUGGGACAGGAGAAGCGUGGUGACCUCAAGAAGAAUGACUAGCAGAGCAAGAAGAUAAUCCGAGGUAGAAGACGAAGCAUUGUAUGUUUGGAUCGGCGAUAGAUAGUUCUUGUGUUAUCGACUGAAAACCACAUGAUAUUGAUAUCAACUCCUUAUCUUUCUUUCUUCCAAGUGUUUGUGCACUCAGAGCCAACACUUGGAAGUUUGAAGUUGCACAAAAACUAGUGCUUGGAAGUCUGUACACUCAGAUUAUUGAUCCUAGAGAGAAAUAACAUGAUCUUUCUUGCAACUCAUGUAUUCUGGUGCAGGCAUGGUCAGAUGCUAGUAAUUUGCAAGGAUCAAAAAGUGAGACAAUGGUCAAGUACUCACUCACUCGGGGCAUGCCUAACGUUGUUAGUUAAACACGGGAUCAAGAUACAUAAUCCACAUGCGUAGCCAAUGAGCUUGCUUAGCAGAGAUGGACUUGAUAAGCACCCCCUUUUGCCGACUGAUGACAUGCGCAGGUAGGCUUAGUUCCAACCAAGUUACAGCUUUUGACCAUCCAGUGGGGAAUGCAGAAUUGGAGGCCUAAACCGGGGCAUCAAAUCCUUAAGUGCCUCGAAAUCAUUUAUAAAUCCCCCAUUACCACCAAAAGUUAUUGCUUGUUAGUCUCUAAAGCAUUCUAGACUGUCUUUGUUAGUGGACAUCCCACUAGAAACGUCGAAAAGGAAUGCAAAAGAGAGCCACAUUGCUUUGGACUAUCACAUUGUUAGUUUAUUAAACUAUCUACAGCCAGGAGUAGUAAUCUGUAAGAGCGAGCAAGAAUCCAACAUCACUUUCGGUCUCAACAUUUUCAGCAGCUAGAUUUUUUUUCCCUAAUAACAAGAUUCCUAAAAUCUUUCUGGUGAUGAUUUGAGUGUUUGCUUUUCUUCACAUUUGACCAUAGAAAUUCAGCACUUGUACAGAACCAUGACUGACAACGAAAAAAGGAUGUGAAUGAUGGUGACUGGAUGCUAUUGUAAGUGCAAUCUGAUGCGAUUCAACUCAGACAAGACUUUCAGUGGGAAAAUGGUUGAAUUUAUGCAUAUGCCAGCUGCCAAGUCAUCGAACGUGCGUAUUCUCUGUACCUAAACUAUUACAUUGAUCAUCAUGAUCGGCACAAACUUCGUCAUGACAACAAAAAAUGCAGUCUACCUUUACAACAAUCUCCACAUCAGAAUCAGUUCAUCCUAUGUGUCUACCUGCCCCUGGAGUUGUUCCUAGAGCUGCCGCUGUCACUCCUGGGUGAGUACCCCUGGCCGCGACGCGUGAGCGAGGAGCCACUGUGCCUGGGCUCCCUCCUCACCCUGCUCUUCAUCGACUCGAUCUGCUCCAGCACCUCCACAACUUCUUUCAUGGAUGGCCGGCUCUUCGGGUCACCGUUCAGGCACUUGAGGGUCAGCUGGGCAGCGAGGAGGGCUCCUUUGGAACUGUACUGUCCCUCCAGCCCGCUGUCCAUCACUUGGCUGAGCUUCCUCCGGUCAGCCAGCAAUGGCUUUGCCCAGUUCACCAGGUUCACCUUCUCGUUCUGUCGGCUUGGGUCCAGUGCCCUUAGACCAGAGAUCAUCUCCAGCAGUACAACACCAAAGCCAUACACGUCACUCUUCACAUACAGAUGGCCUAGUUCAUGAAAGAUGCAAAUCAGUUAACAUUUAGCUAGCACUGUGAAAAGAUAAGGGAUAAAAUGGUAGACAUAUACUGUAUAUGAUAGACACAGAAACCCUGACAACAGACAUACCGGUAGAAACAUAUUCUGGAGCUGCAUACCCAUAGGUUCCCAUGACUCUUGUUGUCACAUGAGACUCCUCGCCAUCUGGACCGUGUUUGGCCAACCCGAAAUCUGAAAGCUUUGCGUUGAAGUGCUGAACAUGGCAUUGUUGGAGUAGGCUGGUUAGAGCAUUGUUCAGGUAACAACAGCUGGUUAGUAGUAGCUCUGGAAAUUAGGAGUAUUUACCGAAUCUAGUAAGAUGUUUGAAGCCUUGAAGUCCCUGUAGAUGAUUUGCCUUUCUGAUGAAUGAAGAAAAGCAAGGCCACGAGCUGCACCGAUGAGAAUCUUCAGCCUGAGGCUCCAAGGCAGAGGCUCGUAAACCGCCCCUCCUGGCAAUGGUGGAUAUUCAGUACUAGUAAAUAGGAUGUUUCAUCCAAAAAAAAAAAAAGGAAUCCCUGGAUGGCCCGAAAUAGUUGAAGGUAAAAUACAAGUGGCGCCAACUUUUCAUCUUGAAUUUCCAAGUUGACUCGACAAGAAUGAUUGAAGGCUGAAGCAACAAGAUAUCGUACAGGUCUGGACAAUUUGCUUGACGCUGACAUCCUCCAAAAUGCUAGUUAGUUGUGCAGCACUAUGGACUAUGGUGCUUGAUAUAUGAUAUUUUAUGAAAUAUGAUUCAUAGAUGCAGAUAAAGCACCAACAUUUGCAUAGUGCGCUACUGCACACGAAGUUGGCAUAAAGAGUGUGGAACAGAGUGACAUAAAGAGAAUUAUUUAUUGAUCGUACUAUAAUUAUGAAAAGAUCUGCUAAAAUACUCACUUCGAAACAGGUGGUUCUCCAAGCUCCCCUUUGCCAUGAACUCGUACACGAGUAGUAGCUCGUUGUCGUCCAUGCAGUAGCCCAAGAGUUUAACGAGAUUGGGAUGUGAAAUCCUCCCAAGGAAAUUGACUUCAGACUGCAAUGGAAACAAGCAAUAAUUAUUUUUGACAGACGAGCUAGAAGUACAUUUCAGAUAGUAGGAAGCCAUGACCUAAAUCAGAAAUUCUUCUGUCGAUAAGACUAUAAGCAGAAACAAAAGAGGAAUAAAAAGUACAAAAUAAUUAGUGAGAGUACAGGAGCAUGCACUAAGGCCUAGCAACUAGAGCAUUCUGAUAAGUAUAAAAAAAAUAGAGCAUUCUAAUUGUAAGUAGAAGAGGGGAAAAUACCGGGGUCCUUUAUACAAAGAAAAAUAAUCAGAGUAACAGGAAUACUUCAGGUUCAUUCUCCAAAAAAAGCAGACAAUUGUAUGAGUUAACAACGCACAGAGAAAGAAAAUCAGUGAAAGAUAGAAACAAAUUGAAAAGGCAAGCAAGCUGCAGUUUUUCCUCAAACAUUAAAAUGACAUGAGCUAUCCACUGAUUUUUCUUUUGAUGAUUUUUAAAUAACUACUGAACUAUUUUUGUAAGCAUUCACUGAAUCAUUUCCCUGAUAACCCAACCCAAAACUACCUCAGAGUUGCAUUUAUUUUUUUCUAAAGCAUGCAAUUAAUAAUGUAACAAAGCCAGCAACUUGACGACUUUAGUACCUGCCAUUGCUCCAUUCCCUGCACGCUCUCAGGAUUGAGCUUCUUGACAGCAACCACCAUGCCAAUGCUACUCCUGGACGGGUUCAAGGUCUUCUCAUCGACCCAGCCCUUGUAAACCUUUCCGAAUCCGCCCUCCCCAAGCACUGUCUCAGGCCUGAAGCUCCUGGUGGCACUCUUGAGUUCGGCGAAGGUGUAUAUUUUGAGAUCUGGAGACUCAAGAAUCUGGCCAUCUGGAUAAUCAUCAUCGACGCUAACACCACUAAUUGUGGAUGGCAUGAAGGUGCUGGUACUCAGUGUUGACAGCUUCCCAGUGGUGGCAGAGCUACUAGUCCUCCUCGAUGCAGACAUUCCUGCACUUGCGAUAGACUAUGUGAGGUCUUGCGUUAAUAAAUGGAUAGAAAACGAGAAGUUUCAAGUGCGUGCAAAUUUACCAUGUAUAGCACUAAAAUGAUUUAGAUGUAAGACGCUGUGUUUGCUUACUGGGAUUAAGAUACCAGGUUAUAAGGCGAAUUUUACCAUUCGGGUAAAAAGAAGUAAUAUUCUCCCGGUUUGUACUAACAACAUAUACAUGGUGCAAGGGUUCUCUAUGGCCCGGACAAACAUUUUGUAAGGGGGGAAAAAGAAGAAGUGGUGCUUUAUUCUACAGAAGAAAAGUCAGCACAAGUGGCAGAAACCAACAAAUUUAGUUGCAAGAGCAAGAAUUUAGUUGAUGCAUCAAAUCGGCCAAAUAUAUUGAGAAAGUGCGCUGUAGGCUUGAGUAGCAUGAUUAUUCGUAGGAGGUUUGUUACAAUAUAGAGCAGAAAUUUGUGAAUAAAAGAAGACAACUUUAUGUUAUAAUACGCAAUCAGGCAAGUAAAGGCAUGCAAAGUUUCAGUUUUGAAAGCAUAAUGAAUCAAAUAGGUGGGCAGCUCUGCGCACAGGAAAUUCUUAUCCACAUGAUGGAAUUAGCAACACACUGGUAAGGGGCGAGUAAAAAAGAUACGCUUUGUUGCAGCAUCAGCGAGUGGUCAUGAUCAUUCUGAAUCCAGAACUGAAGUUAAAAGCGAGAAUAACUGAAUUUACCAAACAAUUGAACAAUUCACCGAUUGCAUUUCAAGGGGAGAGGAAGUGGCCUCAUCAGGAGGCCAAAGAUUGAAGUUUAGAGAGAGAGAGAGAGAGAGAAAUGGCGCGCGCUCGGCUUGUUGGUGGUUGUCACUUACCAGGAGCAGCGGACGGCGACGACCUGGUGCCGCGCUGGACGAAGGAAUUGAUGGCGCUGGCGCAGUUCCCCAUGGAUACUGCAGGCAGGGCGCCCUCGCUCCCCUUCCGCCGACGGAUUCUUCCUCUGCUGUGGUUGUUGCAGAUGGCCGAUGAAGAAGAUGGAUAAGGGCCUGGGCUCGGCCUCUAGUGGUGGUUGCAGAACCAAGGGAGGUUUGCAACUGCAGCAGAGGCAAGAAGGGACGGGGAAGGGAGGGAGGGAGGGAACCGACUGCAACUGCAACCGCGGUGGAAGGGGCGAGGAAGUUAUUACGUCGACUGCGAGUCUCGCUCACUGCAAACCACUGAAAAGAAAAAAAGAAAAAAGAAAAAUCCAUGCAUUUUUUUUCUUUGUGUUCUGCCAAACACAAGACAAGCAAAAGCGCACGCACGCUUUAAAUAAACUUGACCAGUGAUGAGUCCACGGUUGUCUAGUCGACGUGUACAUAUGUCAGUGCUGCUGCUGCUGCUGCUGCUUCUUCUUGAGUACACACACUAGCGCGUAGCAGUAGGUUGUUGAAUUGCAUGAGAACGAAAAAGGUGAUUGGCAAUAGCUUGUGGCAAAAGUGGUUGCAACGCAUGCCAAGCUCUCACCAUGGAUCAAACCCUAGAUUUAAUAUCUAAUGCCUCGUUAAUGUGGAUAGUAUAGUUUAAUAAUAGAUGAUAGGCUCCAUUCGUCAUUCUCAAAAUUUGUGGGUCUAUUCUCCUGUAGGCUUAUAUAGGGAUAGGAUGUAAGAUGUACAAAGAGUGCUCGUUUAGCUUUCAAAUUUUGUCCUACAAAGAAUGUUCAUUUAGCUUCCAGUGAGACUCAUCUUAUUAAAGCAGCACAAACCAAUAAAAAAGUCUAUUAAGAAGUGCACAAAGCUGAUGAUCAAUGGAUACUUUUUAGACAGUGAAAAAUUAGCCCUUGGUGAUUCAAACAGGGGGCCUAAAGGCGGGCUAAAAAUUAGCCAAACCACAAACUAAACUUUAGUUCAUUAACCCUCCAAACCCAGCUAUUGGGGGUUAAUUUUAGACAUGAAUGGUAAAAGAACAAAAUAUCCUCCCACCAAAAACAUUAUCCUUUCUUCUCCCGAACCCUAGGAGUAGAAUUGUAUUUUAUCAAUAAAUUGGCUAAAAAUUAGUUCGGGCCUAAUUUAAGCUUGCUAAAGUUUAGAUGUCUAAACUUUAGUUGCAGUCCAUCCAAAUAGGUUUGAGUAAGGCAGAUAGGUCUACUCUGUACUCCCUCCUCAAAAUGUAAGGUAUGAUCUCACCCAGUUCGAUCUUAAACGAGAUGCUUUGACCUAUCCAAACUUGUAUAGUAUAACCUAUAGAUCCAAAGACUAAGUAUCAGUUAAAGAUUAAAAAAUUUGAAUAUUGAUUUGCAUGCGUGGACCUUCAAAAAUAAGGGGAUGAGUGAUAGUAUGCUACUUUUCAUGUACCCCUAGCUAUGUCCAAAAAAAUGCAAUAAUCCUAGAAAAUUUGAACUUGAGACUUCUGUACCAUACUGAGUUGCAUGCACCAACCAAUUUAAGAAAAAACUUAAGCUAAUAGAAAGAGCUGGGACAACUCCAACACUCACCAUUAUUUGUUCUAGCAAACAGCUAUAUAUUCUACAGGUUAGAUUCAGAGAAUGUGAAAAUGUGUCUCAACUAAGUCAAUACCUCUCUGAGAUAUAUGUGUGGAUGAUAGAUUUUCAGCUUUGGAUUGAGAGAGACAGAGACACAAGACCUUGAGGUUACUGUCAACUACCACUACUGGGGAAAGGGCUUUAGUACCGGUUCUUAACCCCCCUUUAGUACCGGUUGUGCAACCGGUAUUGCUACUUUGAUACUAAAGGGGGGACUUUAAUACCGGAUCAAAUAAGCAGUACUAAAGGGGUAUUUAAAAUUUUAAAAAAAAAAUCCCGCCGCCAGCCCCCGCCCUCCCGCCCCCGCCGCCCCGCUACCGCCCUCCCGCGGCCCCCGCCUCGCCGGUCCUGCCCCCGCCUCUCGCCCCACCGCCAUCCGCCGCCUGCGUGCGCUGCACCUCGCCUCCCCUAGCCUGAGAAGUGUGAGAAAGUGUGAGAGAAAGAGAUAAGGUACCCGUGAGAGAGAAGAGAGAAGAGAUAAGGGGGAGAGGAAAGAUGCGAGGAGAAUUAAAGGUACUCGUGACCCCUUUAGUACUGGGUGGGAGCUCCACCCGGUACUAAAGGCCCUCAGGCACGUUAGUACCGGGUGGAGCCUCCACCUGGUACUAAUGGAUGACCUUUAGUACUGGGUGGAGCACCCACCCCGCACGAAAGGGGGUCACUGGGAGCUCCUUGGGGACUAACCGUUAGACCCGGUACUAAUGUCCAAUCGGUACUGAGGGCUAGGACCAAUGCUCAAUUCUCCACACUCCGAAGAACACAAAAGAACGCAUUCUGAAAUUGCAAAAUGUAUGAAGUUUUGAGAGAUGAAGGUUCAACCUCUUGAUUCGAGUGGACAUGUCGUCAAUAGUCCAAAAGAACAACAACGGGGGCCUUGAUUUGCCACAGCAGUUGGACGCCACAUGUCAGUAUUUUAUUAUGCUAUGUGUCGGUAUUACGCGAUCCAAACCCUGCAACCACUACACCACUUCUCUAUUGGUUAUCAACCGUGCUAAAAGCACAAUUGAUCUUGCCAAAAAAAGCUAUGCCAGCAUGUGAAUCAUCGAAGAAGUACAAUGAAUGGGCCUGUUCGCUUCAGCUUAUUCAGCCGGCUUAUCAGCCACCAAACAGUGUUUUUCUCUCACAACAAAUCAGCCGUUUCAGCUUUUCAGUCGGCUUAUAAGCUGAAGCGAACAGGCUCAAUAUUGUCUUCUUUCAUGGUGGAAAGCUAGAACUAAGAAAAACCCUAAGUCUAAAAGUGACGAUAUCAAGGUAUAUAAAUGAAGGGCAAUGGUCAAGGGGGUGCAGUGGACGUGUGCAAACCCUUGGAUGUGCUCCUGGUGCUAGGGUCACACAAUACCUAGUCUUAGGCCGUUCCCAUGAAUUACAAGGCCGGUGGCCCGAUAAAAGGUGAUGCAGGCAUCCGGUAGAAUUAAGCAGGUUGAUGCGAUAAUUUAAGGCCUUCCCAACAUAUUAUUGAGGUCAAAACCAGAUCCAGUAGCCAUCAAGUUCUCAUGGUUCUCAAUCGGACUCCACAUGAAAGGGUUAUAGACUCCAGUAUAGCAUUGUGGGGUGGAUGCCGAACUGAGUUGUGGAGGGCUUGUACUCCAAGUUGUGCCUUGUGUAUGGAAUACCCACAUCCCAUAUGUUUUUUUUUAACGGAACAACAAGAGGAUUGCCGUAAUUUUUAUUAGAAGAACAAAAAAAAAGAAAAAUAGUAACAACCAGGAAAAUAUAAGCAACAACUCCACCGACUUCCCAGCCACUCAACGGGCGCCACUACCGGGGGGAAAAAAAACAAAACGACCGAGACGACUAAACAUGAGAAAUUAAGUGACUACUCCGGCGUUGCUUGAGGCCAUUGAGAACAUCUUUUCAUUGAGUGGGUCCUCCUCAUGUUAUCUUCUAAUUAAACAUAAUUGUAUGACCAAUAUUAGGUAGUGGCGUGCCCUCAAUUAUUUCAUCAUGCAAAUAUAAGAGCAGAUUCACCUUAUAUUCAGCUUGAAUGGUAGUGUCAAGGAUGUCGAUAUAGGGUGUGUUUGGUUGGGCUGUGGCUUUUAAAAACGCUGCUGUGAACUGUGAGCUGUAGAAAAGCAGCUAUGAGAAAGUAGUUGUGGGAAAAGGAAAAAAUGAUUGAUGUGUUAAACAUCAUAUUAUUGCAAAACUAAUAAGAAGUAACCUGAUCAGAACAUUUACACCUGAUAUAACUAACAAUCCAAUCUGCAAUGGCAAUGGCAAACGGAAAAGGGCGUACAUGCAUCUGCAGAAAGUGCUAAGUAUAUAUCAAUAGCAGAGAACAUCUGCUGGAUCAUCAGUUUCUCAGAGUUCAUCGUGACACAGGCAUGAACACAAUGAACGCGUAAGAACACAGAACAGGUGUUGUAUGGCAAUCGAUCAAAUCGCGAGUCCAACACAACUGAGAGGCCUCUUCUCGUUGACACCACCUAACGCACCGACCAGUGGGCGGUGAUGGCAAGCGCGGCGCUGACCCCUGCGAGAUCAGCCGCGGCCUUGAGGCCGGCGUGGAGGGCGAUGAAGCGCUCAACGUCGAGUAAGCCGUCCAUGCCCGGAAUAGUCGGGACGUCGUGCACGUCGUUGGCCGUCCGCAGGUGGACGCAGCAUGUCUCCACGCAGCGGCACGCCUCCUCGGCGCAAGCCCUGGCGCUGUGGAACAGGCUUAGAGCAAGCGAACGUGCUGGACGGAGAGCAGCGGGAGCAUUGGGUUGGCCGAGGCGCCGUAGAGCGCCAAGAGCUCGGCUGCCUUCAUCGAGGACGCGGCCGUCCGGGGGCGGGGUGCCGCGGGCGGUGAGCAGCGGAUGGCAGGCCGGCGGCCGGCGACCGGGGGCGGCGGGCGACGGGCCACCGAGGACGGCGCGCGAAGGAGGCUACGGUUGUGCGGGGAGGAGCGGACGGUGUCGGGAGAAACAGAACUGGGAGAAAAAAGAACGGUUACCUUGGUAGCAGCUGGUAAUUUUUUAUCUCAAAAGCACUUCAAAGCAGGUGAAUUUACUUUUGGUUUUGUACUAGAACAAAAAUAGUUUUUAGCAAAAGCACGUAGAACUUUUAAACUCUUUGGUUAGCUUUUAACUUUUGCAAAAGCAAAAAUAGGUUGAAAAGUCCAACUAAAAGCACCCAUAAUGCCUUAUCAAUAUAUAUAUAGAACUACGAUGUGUUGCUUUAAACAUCAGAGUACUUGCAUAAUAUUGAUCACCACAUGAUGCUCAAGUUUUUGUUUGGUUAUAUAUGAUGCAUAUAUUAAAUUAAAUAACUACGUGUGUCUGUAUUGCUUGCUUAAUGCACAUGCAUGCCAUGUCCACGCAUGCAUGCAUGACUGGUUGGCGCUGACCUUGGGGCCUGUGCGAUGGAUAUACAUAUCCAGAUCGGACAUACCGUAUUGGAUGCUAAGCUGGUCUCAAUGUCUCAUUGUAUAUAUAUUAUUCUCAAGUAGCAAUAUAAUGCACGCGAUUCUUUUGCUUCGUAUAUCCGCAAAUUCAACUAAACAAUAAAGCAAUAAUAAUGCUACUUGCAUUAGUAAACUAUAGGCAGCUAUUAGCAGAUGAGUAAUGCCCAUCAUCCACUACUGCGAACACACACAUAUAUGCAUUGCAUGUCAGGACAAAUUAAAUAAAAGAUGUGCUACUUGUAGCUUAAUUAGGGAGCACGUACGAAUCCUCUACCAAGGAGUCAGCUCUGGAAAAACUUUGGCUGCAAGUCUAAUUUGCUUUUUCAUCUGUACAAGUUACGUACGUACUGUACAUAGUCAGCGUACGUACGUGAUGCAUGAGAUACAUUUUACUCUUGCUGCUUCACCACCACUCCUUUUUACAGCUCAGAGGCUAGCUAUAUAUACACACAUGUCCAUGCAUGGUGGACAGUAUAAAGAGCAGAGACCAGAGAGAGAUGAAUAAUAAAGAGCAGAGAGAGAUGAAGAAAGCAAAUCCCAUCCUGACGGCUCUGUCCGCGGCGACAUUCGGCUUCUUCAUUGGCAUUUCAUUUCCUCUACAGAUGGCACCACAGGUACGUACUAUAUGCGCGUAUACGGCGUGUAAUCGAUCGAUCUCUGUCAUACUAGCUAACGACCCACAGCAGUACAUGACCAUUGAUUGUUUGGACGACAUGUACAGCUUCCUUGCUAUGUGUUCCCUUGGAAUGGUGGUGGUGGUGGCGGUGAUGCCGCCAACUCCACCUUGAGGGCCACCAGCAUGCUAAGCAGAUUCUGGGUCGUCGGUAACAACAACAACAACAAUGCAGCAGCAGCAACCGAGGGGAAGACUGCUACUGCUCCCGCCGUCGUGCACCCAAAUGCCACUUCGCCAGCAAUCAUAAAGCCGACAGGCGCGGAGAGGCUCCCUCCCAACAUCGUAGUUUCAGAGUCCGAUCUCCACAUGCGCCGCCUCUGGGGAGACCCGCGGCAGGUAAUUCCUUCGUUCCGUUCCUGAUCUAUCUUGACAUCCUCCUCAGCAGCUCUCUUCAUUCUGAGCAUGCAAUGCAUGCAGGACACUCCCGUGCGCAAGUACCUCCUGACGAUGACAGUAGGGCUCAGUGAGAAAGCCAAUGUCAACGCCACAGUUCACAAGGUACGUACAUAGGGUUAUUAAGUGAGAAUCUCAUGCUGAUGACCAUGUUUCUAGCUGCUACUUUCUUUCAACUGUCCUAGUCUCAGAAGAACUCAAGUGAUCAUCCAUGAGCGAUGCUAUGUAGUUCUCGGAUGAGUUCGACGUGAUGCUUUUCCACUACGACGGCCGCACGACGGAGUGGGACGACGAGUUCGCGUGGUCCAAGGACGCCAUCCACGUGAGCGCCCGGAAGCAGGCCAAGUGGUGGUACGCCAAGCGCUUCCUCCACCCCAGCGUCGUGGCGCCCUACGACUACGUCUUCCUCUGGGACGAGGACCUCGCCGUCGACUUCUUCGACGCCACCGAGUACGUCCGCAUCGUCCGCGAGCACGGCCUCGAGAUCUCGCAGCCGGGGCUCGACAUCACCCGGGGCAAGAAGACCUACGACAUCACCACCCGGAGGAGCAACAACACUAGCGAGGUCCACAAGAACACCACCGGGGGCCCCGGGAACUGCCCCGACGUGCACCGCCGGCCAUGCAGCGGCUUCGUGGAGGUGAUGGCGCCCGUGUUCUCGAGGAAGGCGUGGGCGUGCGCGUGGCACAUGGUGCAGAACGACCUCAUCCACGGGUGGGGGCUGGACCUCAACUUCUGGAGGUGCGUCGACGACCCCGAGGAGCAGAUGGGGGUGGUGGACGCGCAGUACGUCGCGCACCGCGGCCUGCCCACGCUGGGGCGGCAGGGCAACCCGGAGACGGGCGGCGGCGGCAACGUCAGAGCGCGCGCGUGGCAAGAGUUCAGCGAAUUCAAAACCAGAAUCCGCGAUGCCGACAGGGCCGCCGAGGCCGAACGGCGCCGGGAAGCAGCAGCAGCCCUUCUUGUUGCGACGCCGCCGACGCCGUCGCCGCCCCGGUCAAAAUAAGCUCAUUUCAACUGACAUAGCAAUUAUAUUGCGCGCAAAUUAAAUCAGCAGGCAAAAUGUGUUCCUGGAUUAUCAAGUUUUCAGUUUAGCAUCUACCGACUCACCUCCCUUCUGGACACUUGAUGAUACUAAAUAUGAAAAAGAAAAUUAAAAACAAACGAUGAGAGCUCCCAACUCCGAUCAAAUAUAUAACCAUGCAUUUUGUUUGAGAAACCGGGUUUAUAUUUCACAUAAAGUUUACAUUGCAACUCUUACAAAGACACCCUUGAAGAAAAGAAAAUUACAACCUACUCCUUGCAAGAUCCUCCCAGUCGUCCUUGUCGCGGGUGGUCGGAGCAGCCACACGACGCACUCCCGUCGCACCAAAGGUUGGAGAGGAGACACUCCGAGUUUGCAGCUUGAAGCCGACCUCCUUCCCGAUGAUGGAAGUUCACAGUUUUUGAUUGUCUCCAAAAACGGCACAUCGACAUGCUCUAUAAUCGCUGAACGUCCUAGCUGAAGAAGAUGGCUGCCGGCCAUCACAUUGUCGGAAGACAAGGGAUCUAGCGCCUCAAGGACUACCAUCAACCCCGGCUCACCGGACGACGACACAACCCGAAGGGGAACAAAACCACCAAAACAGUUGGGAAACAAAAUCCAACUCGAUUUCUCGGUGCGUUGGUAGACGUACCUCCCAGGACUCCCGUCGGAAAGGCAUGCAUCGCCGCCGACGGAGAUGAGGAAGGGAGAAGAAGAAAACUCGACCAGAUCUGAAGCAAACCCUAGGUCUUCAGAUCCAAUGAGCUCACACCUCAAUCCAUAGACGCAGCGCCGCCUCCACACUACGAACGCCGCCUGGACCUAAACUACGUAGGACUAUAUACACACCAGCCACCUCAAUCCCCGUUCCCCAUCCUCUCCAGCACCGAACCGGCCGCUGAAGUGGAGGGGAAACGGAGAAAAUCGGCACCGGAAGCGUCGCCUGCUUUUCGCCAUCUCUCAACUGUAGCAGAGGAAGGAAUGAGAAGAAGCAGGAACAACUGGGAACCUCUCUGCUGGUAAGCUAUAUAUAACCAUGCAUGCCAUGGCGUCAUCGCCCAAGAGAAGGCCCAGCAGGCCGCUCUGCUUGCUCUCCCCGCUCGGAAAGAAGGCCCAGGCCGCACCAACUACCAAAAAAAAAU
RNAcentral lists this long non-coding RNA (31058 nucleotides) under Setaria viridis. RNAcentral's name for it is "long non-coding RNA (SVIR_LNC005087)". Lineage: Eukaryota; Viridiplantae; Streptophyta; Magnoliopsida; Poales; Poaceae. The record is from RNAcentral.